Molecule: long non-coding RNA, 5065 nt
Filed under: Sorghum bicolor (sorghum)
Lineage: Eukaryota; Viridiplantae; Streptophyta; Magnoliopsida; Poales; Poaceae
Description: long non-coding RNA (SBIC_LNC011463)
Source: RNAcentral
GCCUGGCCGUCGUCCACUCGAUCGUCGUCGCGUCGUCCGUCAUCGAUCAGUGCGGCGUCAGUCGGAGAUGCUGAGCAUGGCGUAGCGGACGUACUCGUCGACGCCGCCCCGGCUCCCGCUGUGGCUCCAGGCGGCGCCGCGCGCCAGGGCGUCGUUGACCCACGCGGCGUGCGAGGCGAGCACGACGCACAGGACGGCGAAGGCCUCGGGAAGGUGGCGCGCGAGCGGCAGCCGCAGGUUGAGCGGCGCCGAGAGGUUGAACACCUGCAUGAGCCCCCUCGCCGCCACGAACGCAAGCAGGUGGAACCCCAUCGCGUCGAGGUCGAAUUCGAAUCGGCCAACACCGGGCCGCCCGCCGGCGCACACACAGGUCGCGGGAGCUCGAUCGCCUUGGUACAGUGGCUGCCGUCGUCGUCGUCGUCGUCUCCGUCUCUUGUUGGCAGCAGCUAGCGGGAAAUAAUAAUGCCUGCUGCCCGGCCGGUCGCGUGCACUUGUUCCGCCGAGACGGGGCCAAUCCCACCAGCUUGAGCUCGCCUGCGGAAUGCGCGGCGUGUUAAGUAGGCAAAGGACGCCCCAGGACGGCAGGCAAGGCAACGUCGCUGCCACGCUGGUGGUGCCGUGGUGGUGGUGGUGGUGGGGGCAGCCGCGCGCUGCCGUGCCGGGGGCCGAGGGGGUUGCGGCCUUCCCCAGUUGCGAGCGGCAACGAGAAAGGGGGAGGCAGCCACACCGUACCGGCUGAUGACUAGGACGAGUUGCUGCCUGGUUUGGGCAAGGGCGGGCCGGGGUUUUCGUUGGUUUUGGAUAAGAAAGCACCCUGCCUACGAUUGGUUCUGAGUUCUGACGUGUACCCCUAUGGAAUGGAAUGGAAUGGAAUGGAACACUUUUUCACCCAUCCGUUAUCUAGCAAACAAUUGAAGUAUAUCUAGAGUGCUAGGUCCUCUUUUCUUUUAUUUCCUUUUACGUACGUCAACAACAUACAACUGAUUUGUACUGUUGAGGCAGCUUACCUGAUAUACUCUAUUUAUCCUGAAAAUAGAAUUUAUAUAAAAAUAUAUGAAUAUUUAUGAUAAUGUAUCGUGAAAUUUAUUUUCUUAGUAGUAAUAUUAACAGUGUUAUUUUAUAUAUAAAUAUAGUUAAAAAAUAGAGAGUUGUUAUUAUAUAUCAAGUGGUUAAUUUUUUUAAAAAAAAUUCAAGCAUAUCUUACACGUUCAAUUGGUAUAAUUAAAAAACAAUGAUAAGCGAACUGAUCGUAGAUCAGCUGGUUGGCUUUCUUAUGGUGGAACCUGUCUAUCCGGAUUCAAGUCCCUCCCGGACUUAGGGGGCGUUUGAGACUACUCUGCUCCACGUUUUUCAGCUCCGCUCCACGUUUUUUAGCCAAACGGUUUCAGCUCCACGCAAUCAGUUCGAGAAAAAAGAGUGGAGUUGUGAGAGCACCUAAAGAGGUACUCCACAAACUCCAGUUUUUUGUGGAGCUGCUCCACGGUGGAGUUUGUGGAGCAGAGUUUGUGAAGCAGUCCCAAACAGCCCUUAACACGGGUGCUUUCAGUGGUAGACAACGAGGAGUCUGCGGUGAUUUCAUCAAUCUCGAGUUUUGCCGGUCCAACUCAGUUCUUCGAUAUGCUCAUAGAGGUAGGGUGUGCGUGCCUACGUUCAUAUGGGUGAGUGUAUACUCAUGUUUGUGAGCGUCUGCGUCUAGAAUUGAUGGGUCUCGCAAAAAAAAAACAAUGACAAAAUUGUAUGUGGUCUAAAAACAACAAAAAAAACAGGCAUCUAAUAUAUAGAAAAAGUAUAAAUUAAGAUAAUUUUACUAUAGAGAGCAGAAUCAGAAUGACACUUUUUUGUACACACUAGAGAGUUAUGCUAGUUGUAUAAGUUACUUUUCUUUCUGAAAAUGGUUGACAUCGAUCCCAUGUGAUCAAUUUAACGUGAAAUGGCCUUUUAAGUACCAAUUUUGCUACAACUGUUUGUCUAUAUAUAUAGUUUCUAUUUUUGUGUAUGUGGUGUGUGUCCGUGGGAGUGAGUGAGUGACGACUGACGAAGUAAAAAAAACCUGGGCGGUUGUGCCGACUCACCACUGACGUACGGGUACGGCUAACACCUAACAGCUUGCCCUAUUCAUCCAUUUUGGGCUGCUGCAGGCCGCAGGACAGUUACAUUUUCUGUAGGCCUUGUUUGGAUGUUGUGCUCAAUCCACAUGUGUUGGAGUGGAUUGAGGUGGAAUUUAGUUCAAGUUCUACUCUAACUCACCUCAACACAUAUGAAUUAAUGUGAAUUCGACUACAUUCAAACAAGAUCGUAGAUGGGGGCGACAUCAUUUUCAGCAAUGGAUAAGGUUGAGGCUCAUCAGAUGUCAGGCUAGAUCACCGGCGGGGCCAGCUCGCAAACAAAUCAAAGCUUUGUUCUCUUCUUCACAUACUAUGAGCGAGUACUCUAGAUUGUUGUUUGGUGUGUGUGCAUCUCUAAUAGCUACAGUAUAUAAUAAGCAACAUGACACAGUCCUCAGUAGGAAAGCUUCAGGCUAAGCACCUCACACAAAUUAUUAAUCGCUCGCAGACGGCGGGGGUGAAUGGUUAGGUUCGACACAUCAGACAGUUGCAGGGGGCCAUGGAACUCAUCAGGGAGCCCACAGAGUAGGUGGAGGCAUCGGACCUGGAUGGACUGAUCCAAAGCGACUGGACUGAUCUGACCUGCUCGGCAAGCAAAAGCAUUCGACCUCGCAUGCAUUCCCUGACCGAGCGCCCAACUAAUCAUACGGCACGCACGAUCGUUUCCCAGCGUCCUUGUGGUUCUGGUGGUGCAGCCAGUCAUCGAGUGGAUGUGCUGGCCUCUCUGGCCCCGAGGAGCCGCUCUUUCAUUUUGCCAGUGGCUUUCUGGAUAGAGAUGAUGAUGAUGAUAUAUCGUGGUGAUGAGUCUUUGACUGGGCGAUUAAUCUGUUCAAUUUGCGUGUCUACGAGGGAAUUCAUUCAUCAUUAAUUCUGAUUUUCGAACAGCCGAAGCUAGCGUCAAUCUGUUUAUAUGUUUCAGAGUUUUGCAUGAGGUAGGCAGAGCUAUUAGCUAUAGUAAUAGUAUGUACUGUACUGGUGCUUUGUCAAAGAGCACAGUACACUUUGGACGUGUGUAGGGGCGGUCGAGAAUGGCGAGAUCCAAGUGCUGACCUUCUGGCUGUAGGUGAGGCUCUGCAUCGUGCUGCAUUGUAUAUACUGUUCGUCCCCUGUUGUGCUGCACGCGAGCCUCGUUAUGAUGUGUUGAGUCUUAAUUAAUUGAUUUAGGAUCCAGAAAAUUAGGAGCUCAUUUGGAUCCUCUAGUUUUUAUUUAUUAGGUGUGACAGUCGGAAGGAAUUAAACAGCACUGUUCUAUAAAAGUACAGCACUGUUUUAUGAAGUGGAUAGCUAAAUAAAGAUAUGGAAUAUGAAAUUUAGAAUGUCUCUUGGAGGUGCUCUUAAUUAUCUGAUGAUGUAGCAGAAUGAAGUGAUUCUAGAGCGGUGCUAGUGGGGAGCUGAGGACUGAAUAGAGAAAAGGCUUCUAAUUAAGUUUUGACCCACAGCUUCCAAUGCAAGUAGAGAAAUGGUUUUUAUCUGAUCACUACUAGAAUCUAUAUAACUUGUUGAUGUUUGGCUAAGCUGGAAGCUCCACCAACAGGAAGGGUGUGUGCAGGCUUACAGCAGCACGACGAGCACGAGGCAUCGGUGUCUAACAAAGACCAGCCCGAGAGGUGCCGUGGACGGAGGAGGGAUCAGGGAUAUGGGGAGGUACCGUGGACGUUGUGUCUCAUACAUAAGUACAGUUCUUGAUCUGUUAAUUGUAUAUGGAGUAGUUGGACUAGCAGACUCUUCUACCUCGUUAACCCUCUUGACCGGCCGGGUGCAGCUUGCGCAUGAUGUUCUGUGGUCAGCCUCCGAGGGAGAACGAGAGAGAAGUCCCAGUUUUAAAUUUGCACUACUCUAGAUGGGAGCCACGCAUGCACGUCUUUCAAUUUUCUACAGAACGGAUAAGUCAGCAUCUCACAUGCUGUACAGAUUAUCUAUACACCUGGGGCCAGCAGUAUAAAAAACUAAUACAUGUGUUUUGUUUUCUCUCACACAAAUAUAUGGCUUGGCCGCUUGGGUGUUCAUAUAUUGCGUGUACAGAUCACAAGCUACAUAAGUUGUUUGGAUCGGAAGUUGAACAUUCCACAUGCACCAACUUCGCUGUUGUCGUCCAUGGGGUUGCAUUUUCCGGUCCAUGUGGUAUCCUACGUGCAUGCAUACGGCCAUACGGGCGCAUCGUCUUUCCCUGCGUUUUUCUAGUCCCUGUCGUCAGAGGCGAUUAUAUGUGUUGUGUUGCCCUUUCUCGACCCGAGGAGCUAGCUACCUAGUUGGUCAUGGAGCGGUGGCCAUCAAUAGUUCGCCACCUGAUGAGAAAAUUUUCAGUCGAACAAAAUUCACCUUUUACAAACCACGGUUGCAUUGCAUGUUAUAUGUUACAACAAUCUACCAAUUUUUUUUGAACGCUACCAAAAAUCAUGCUACGAUCAGGAAGGAACCAAACGCUCGCUCGAGCAAUGCACAAGGAAUCACAAGGGGGGAAAGGAAGAGCUACACCCUAAUAGCUAAGCUAGCAAAAGGCCGGGCGGCAUGCACUUGCGCCUGGCCGUCGGCCGAUCCGUCCGCCGGUGCGCGCGCGCGUCAGAUCAGUCGGAGAUGCUGAGCAUGGCGUAUCGGACGUACUCGUCGACGCCACCCCGGCUCCCGCUGUGCCUCCAGGCGGCGCCGCGCGCCAGGGCGUCGUUGAGCCACGCGGCGUGCGAGGCGAGCACGCCGUACAGGACGGCGAAGGCCUCAGGAAGGUGGCGCGCGAGCGGCAGCCGCCGGUUGAGCGGCGCCGAGAGGUUGAACACCUGCAUGAGCCCCCUCGCCGCCACGAACGCAAGCAGGUGGAACCCCAUCGUCGAGGUCCAAGAAUUAAGCCACAGCACCGGCGGACGACGGGGCACACAGAUCGCGGAUGGAGCUCGCCCUUGGUACGGUGGAUAUAUCGUCGCCUCUUGUUGGCAGCAGCAGCAGCAGCAGCGGGAAAUGUUGCCCGG